This 608-nucleotide ribosomal RNA is filed under the name uncultured bacterium. RNAcentral describes it as "bacterial SSU rRNA". It matches the Rfam family "Bacterial small subunit ribosomal RNA", at positions 331 to 931 of the family's 1533-position model. The record is from RNAcentral.
CCAGACUCCUACGGAGGCAGCAGUGGGGAAUCUUCCGCAAUGGACGAAAGUCUGACGGAGCAACGCCGCGUGAGUGAUGACGGCCUUCGGGUUGUAAAGCUCUGUUAAUCGGGACGAAAGGCCUUCUUGCGAAUAGUGAGAAGGAUUGACGGUACCGGAAUAGAAAGCCACGGCUAACUACGUGCCAGCAGCCGCGGUAAUACGUAGGUGGCAAGCGUUGUCCGGAAUUAUUGGGCGUAAAGCGCGCGCAGGCGGAUAGGUCAGUCUGUCUUAAAAGUUCGGGGCUUAACCCCGUGAUGGGAUGGAAACUGCCAAUCUAGAGUAUCGGAGAGGAAAGUGGAAUUCCUAGUGUAGCGGUGAAAUGCGUAGAUAUUAGGAAGAACACCAGUGGCGAAGGCGACUUUCUGGACGAAAACUGACGCUGAGGCGCGAAAGCCAGGGGAGCGAACGGGAUUAGAUACCCCGGUAGUCCUGGCCGUAAACGAUGGGUACUAGGUGUAGGAGGUAUCGACCCCUUCUGUGCCGGAGUUAACGCAAUAAGUACCCCGCCUGGGGAGUACGACCGCAAGGUUGAAACUCAAAGGAAUUGACGGGGGCCCGCACAAGAA